CCGCCGGCGACCGGCGCACGGGUGAGUAACACGUAUGCAACCUGGCCGUGACAGAUGGAUAACCGGGAGAAAUCCCGCCUAAUACAACAUAAUGCCGGGAGGGGACAUCCCCUGCCGGCCAAAGGGGCGACCCCGGUCACGGAUGGGCAUGCGGCGCAUUAGGUAGUUGGCGGGGCAACGGCCCACCAAGCCGACGAUGCGUAGGGGUUCUGAGAGGAAGGUCCCCCACAUUGGAACUGAGACACGGUCCAAACUCCUACGGGAGGCAGCAG
Molecule: ribosomal RNA, 272 nt
Filed under: uncultured bacterium
Lineage: Bacteria
Description: partial 16S ribosomal RNA
Rfam family: Bacterial small subunit ribosomal RNA
Source: RNAcentral